GAUGAACGCUGGUGGCGUGCCUAAUACAUGCAAGUCGAGCGAACAGAUAAGGAGCUUGCUCCUUUGACGUUAGCGGCGGACGGGUGAGUAACACGUGGGUAACCUACCUAUAAGACUGGAAUAACUCCGGGAAACCGGGGCUAAUGCAGGAUAACAUGUUGAACCGCAUGGUUCUACAGUGAAAGGCGGCUUUGCUGUCACUUAUAGAUGGACCCGCGCCGUAUUAGCUAGUUGGUGAGGUAACGGCUCACCAAGGCAACGAUACGUAGCCGACCUGAGAGGGUGAUCGGCCACACUGGAACUGAGACACGGUCCAGACUCCUACGGGAGGCAGCAGUAGGGAAUCUUCCGCAAUGGGCGAAAGCCUGACGGAGCAACGCCGCGUGAGUGAUGAAGGUCUUCGGAUCGUAAAACUCUGUUAUUAGGGAAGAACAAAUGCGUAAGUAACUGUGCGCGUCUUGACGGUACCUAAUCAGAAAGCCACGGCUAACCACGUG
RNAcentral lists this ribosomal RNA (497 nucleotides) under uncultured bacterium. Its description in RNAcentral is "partial 16S ribosomal RNA". It matches the Rfam family "Bacterial small subunit ribosomal RNA", at positions 28 to 507 of the family's 1533-position model. The record is from RNAcentral.